CCCUUAGAUGUUCUGGGCCGCACGCGCGCUACACUGACGGAGCCAACGAGUAUUUUCCUUGUCCGGAAGGACUGGGUAAUCUUGUGAAACUUUGUCGUGCUGGGGAUAGAGCAUUGUAAUUAUUGCUCUUCAACGAGGAAUUCCUAGUAAGCACAAGUCAUCAGCUUGUGUUGAUUACGUCCCUGCCCUUUGUACACACCGCCCGUCGCUCCUACCGAUUGAAUGUUCCGGUGAGCUCUUCGGACUGCGCGGUCUGCAGUUUCUGCGUUCCGUGCGGAAAGUUGCGCAAACCUUAACAUUUAGAGGAAGGAGAAGUCGUAACA
Molecule: ribosomal RNA, 323 nt
Filed under: uncultured eukaryote
Lineage: Eukaryota
Description: partial 18S ribosomal RNA
Rfam family: Eukaryotic small subunit ribosomal RNA
Source: RNAcentral